Pelmatolapia mariae (spotted tilapia) is the source of this 188-nucleotide small nuclear RNA. RefSeq annotates it as U2 spliceosomal RNA. The record is from RefSeq and is a predicted model, not a curated record. NCBI's taxonomy places the organism in Eukaryota, Metazoa, Chordata, Actinopteri, Cichliformes, Cichlidae. The transcript has a single exon.
AUCACUUCUCAGCCUUUUAGUUAAGAUCAAAUGUAGUAUCUGUUCUUGUCAGUUUAAUAUUUGAUACAGUCCCUAUCAGGGGAACACAUAUUAACUUGAUUUUAAGGACAGGGAAGUGGAAUAGGGCAGGCUUGGCCAACUCCAGACCUCGAGGGCCGGUGUCCUGCAGGUUUUAGAUAUCACCCUGA